This is a non-coding RNA of Dermatophagoides pteronyssinus (European house dust mite), 73 nucleotides long. The record is from the annotation of a RefSeq genome assembly. NCBI's taxonomy places the organism in Eukaryota, Metazoa, Arthropoda, Arachnida, Sarcoptiformes, Pyroglyphidae.
GCCUUCGUAGCGCAACUGGCAGCGCGUGAGACUUCUAAUCUCAAGGUUGCGGGUUCGAGUCCCGCCGGAGGUU